This 473-nucleotide ribosomal RNA is filed under the name uncultured bacterium. RNAcentral's name for it is "partial 16S ribosomal RNA". It matches the Rfam family "Bacterial small subunit ribosomal RNA", at positions 28 to 523 of the family's 1533-position model. The record is from RNAcentral.
GACGAACGCUGGCGGCGUGCUUAACACAUGCAAGUCGAACGGUAAGGCCCUUCGGGGUACACGAGUGGCGAACGGGUGAGUAACACGUGGGUGAUCUGCCCUGCACUUCGGGAUAAGCCUGGGAAACUGGGGCUAAUACCGGAUAGGACCCUGGGAUGCAUGUUCUGGGGAGGAAAGCUUUUGCGCUUCGGGAGGGGCCUGCGUAACAUUAGCUUGUUGGGGAGGUAAAAGCUCACCAAGGCGACGAUGUUUAGCUGGUUUGAGAGGAUGAUCAGCCACACUGGGACUGAGAUACGGCCCAGACUCCUACGGGAGGCAGCAGUGAGGAAUAUUCCACAAUGGGGGAAACCCUGAUGGAGCGAUGCCGCGUGCAGGAAGACGCUUUUCGGAGUGUAAACUGCUUUUAAUAGGGAAGAUUAUGACGGUACCUAUAGAAUAAGGACCGGCCAACUACGUGCCAGCCGCCGCAGUAA